Molecule: long non-coding RNA, 150 nt
Filed under: Mus spretus (western wild mouse)
Lineage: Eukaryota; Metazoa; Chordata; Mammalia; Rodentia; Muridae
Description: predicted gene, 55680 (ENSMSPG00010047700.1)
Rfam family: Myocardial infarction associated transcript exon 5 conserved region 1
About the family: MIAT (myocardial infarction associated transcript), also known as RNCR2 (retinal non-coding RNA 2) or Gomafu, is a noncoding RNA. Single nucleotide polymorphisms (SNPs) in MIAT are associated with a risk of myocardial infarction. It is expressed in neurons, and located in the nucleus.
Source: RNAcentral
GCAUGGUGUGAUUAACCUACUAACCAACCCAGGGCUCGGCCAGGACGCUGUGGCACUCGACGAGAUGCCUGGCCUUCUGUCAACCGACUAAUCCACUAACCUGGCCCGAGCAUGUCCUACUAACCCCGCAGCAGCCAAACCCUACUAACU